Long non-coding RNA from Suricata suricatta (meerkat), 562 nucleotides. RefSeq lists it as uncharacterized. Lineage: Eukaryota; Metazoa; Chordata; Mammalia; Carnivora; Herpestidae. The transcript is spliced from 2 exons. The record is from RefSeq and is a predicted model, not a curated record.
CCCAGAACCCUCCUGUAGGGCGUGACUAGUCUUAACCUCCAUCUUUAGGCCCACCCCCAGAAAUGUUAAUGGUGUUAGCUGGCCUUCAAGGUCAGAGGGGAAACCCGAAUCAGACCUGCAUCCUUAUAGCAGUUGCUGAGGGCUGCCUGCCGGGAGCUCAGCGGGGCCUCUCAACAGGUGAUGUGACCUUACCUAUCCUCAACGCAGCUGCCUGGAUUUGCUCACAGCAUCUUAGCAGCCGACCUUGGCCCUGAAAGCCGGAAGUUGCAGGUCCCCUAAACCAGCCAUGGAGAAUAAAAAAAGCGUAAUAACAGGUGCAGUAUGAGGCUCCACCCACUCGCCCAUAAUGCAUCAAAUCCACCCAGAACACAGUCGGUUGCCUGGCGGAGCACACAGGAUGGUAAGAAGAAUCAGGGCUCUCUCACAAAGGCGGUCACCACCUGCAGAUGCUGACAAUCACUCGCUCUUGUCGGAAGUCCAUGAAGCCUCUGCAGCUAACGUACAUCUCCUUUCUUACCUAUGACUCCAUAUUCUGGCUCAUAAAUAAACCACCACUAGCGCA